This 403-nucleotide ribosomal RNA is filed under the name uncultured bacterium. RNAcentral's name for it is "partial 16S ribosomal RNA". It matches the Rfam family "Bacterial small subunit ribosomal RNA", at positions 28 to 526 of the family's 1533-position model. The record is from RNAcentral.
GACGAACGCUGGCGGCGUGCCUAAUACAUGCAAGUCGAACGCAGUGGGGACGGGUGAGUAACACGUGGGUAACCUCCCAUCAGAGGGGAUAAAACUUGGAAACAGGUGCUAAACCGAUACUGAUGGAUGGACCCGCGGUGCAUUAGCUAGUUGGUGAGGUAACGGCUCACCAAGGACACGAUGCAUAGCCGACCUGAGGGGGUGAUCGGCCACACUGGUACUGAGACCCGGCCCAGACUCCUACGGUAUGCAGCCGUAGGGAAUCUUCGGCCAUGGACGAUAGUCUGACCGAGCAACGCCGCGUGAGUUAAGACGGUUUUCGGAUCGUAAAACGCUGUUGUUAUAGAAGCGGUAUCUAACCAGAAAGCCACGGCUAACUACGUGCCAGCAGCCGCGGUAAUUC